Molecule: ribosomal RNA, 305 nt
Filed under: uncultured bacterium
Lineage: Bacteria
Description: bacterial SSU rRNA
Rfam family: Bacterial small subunit ribosomal RNA
Source: RNAcentral
UGGGUCCUACGGGACGCAGCAGUGGGGAAUAUUGCACAAUGGGGGGAACCCUGAUGCAGCGACGCCGCGUGGGUGAAGGAGUAUUUCGGUAUGUAAAGCCCUAUCAGCAGGGAAGAACAAUGACGGUACCUGACUAAGAAGCACCGGCUAAAUACGUGCCAGCAGCCGCGGUAAUACGUAUGGUGCAAGCGUUAUCCGGAUUUACUGGGUGUAAAGGGAGCGCAGGCGGCGCGUUAAGCCUGGUGUGAAAGCCGGCGGCCCAACCGCGGGACUGCAUUGGGAACUGGCGCGGUGGAGUGCGGGAG